RNAcentral lists this ribosomal RNA (393 nucleotides) under uncultured bacterium. RNAcentral describes it as "bacterial SSU rRNA". It matches the Rfam family "Bacterial small subunit ribosomal RNA", at positions 29 to 424 of the family's 1533-position model. The record is from RNAcentral.
AUUGAACGCUGGCGGAAUGCUUUACACAUGCAAGUCGAGCGGCAGCGCGGGGGCAACCCUGGCGGCGAGCGGCGAACGGGUGAGUAAUACAUCGGAACGUGUCCUUAAGUGGGGGAUAGCUCGGCGAAAGCCGGAUUAAUACCGCAUAAGCUCUGAGGAGGAAAGCGGGGGCUCCGUAAGGACCUCGCGCUGUUGGAGCGGCCGAUGUCGGAUUAGCUAGUUGGUGGGGUAAAGGCCCACCAAGGCGACGAUCCGUAGCUGGUCUGAGAGGAUGAUCAGCCACACUGGAACUGAGACACGGUCCAGACUCCUACGGGAGGCAGCAGUGGGGAAUUUUGGACAAUGGGGCAACCCUGAUCCAGCCAUUCCGCGUGAGUGAAGAAGGCCUCGGUU